Long non-coding RNA from Syngnathoides biaculeatus (alligator pipefish), 2285 nucleotides. RefSeq lists it as uncharacterized. The transcript has 3 exons. The record is from RefSeq and is a predicted model, not a curated record. NCBI's taxonomy places the organism in Eukaryota, Metazoa, Chordata, Actinopteri, Syngnathiformes, Syngnathidae.
UAAAGUAGUAGUAGGGGAGAGUGUAGCUUGACACCAUAAGGUGGUGGUGUGUAGGAUGUAAUUGUAAUUGUCAAUAAUAAUCUUCUCAAAACACUAUUAAAUGAGAGAGGAUUUAACAUCACAUUGUCAAAAUAGAUUACAUAUUACAUGACCAUUUGGAUACAUUGUUCAUCCAAAGCACUGGAAUUCCCUUUAAGUACUCUUGCGUCCCCUGGGAAAGGCACACCACAUACAAUGCAAACCCUUGUUAAAACGGAAUGGUCUGUAACUUAAGACACAACAGGUUGUGAUUGUGAGCAAAUUUACCUAUAACUUUUGUAUCUUAAAUGUCUGUUAAACUACAGAACUUAGGUCGCCAACAGUGUGUGUAUGUAUAUAAAUAUAUGUAUAUGUACUCUCCUAUCUAAUAUUAACCAAACUCCAAAAUCCAGACUCUCAAAGGACUGCCACUCCCCAUAAAACCUACAUUUUAAUGUCGGAGCCUGUGGGGGUUAUUUUGCUGUCAAACCUUGCACCAAAAUCUGAACCAUUUCCCGAAUCUGUCACAUGAUACUUUGGACAUUAUCAUUUACGGCCCCUCCUCCAAAUGAAUUAUGCCUUGCUACACAUGUCGCGGGAAUGGGAAGAUGUUUCAUCUCAAAAACUAAUAAACAUCCAUCCAUCCAUCCAUUUUCUUAGCUCCUUAUCCUCACAAGGGUCGCAGACGACAGUUGCAUUUACAAUCACACCUUGGGCCAAUUUAGGGUCUUCAAUAAAUGUAGUUUUUUUUGAGAUGUGGGAGGAAACAGGAGUGCCCGGAGAAAACCCACACAGGCACGAGGAGAACAUGCAAACUCCACACAGGGAGGGCAGGGAUUGAACCCGGGUCCUCAGAACUUUGAGGCCAAUGCUUUCCAGGAGGACCACCGUGCCUCCACUGAUAAACAUUGUUUUUAGUAAAUCAUUAACUUGGAAUAUUUAUGGCUGCAACACAUUCCCAAAAAGGUGGGACAUGGUGAAGUUUUCUCUUUCCAAACAUUUAAUAAAUGUUUUGGAGCUGAGGACACAAAUUGUUCAAGCUGUCUCGGUGGAAUUCUUUCCCAUUCUCACUUGGAAGUACAGCUUCAGCUGUUCAACAGUAUGGGGUCUCCAUUGUUAUAUUUUUCGCCUCACAACCCAACACGUAUUUUCAUUGGGAGACAGGUCUGGACUGCAGGCAGGCCAGUCUUGUACCUGCACUCUUUUACUACAAAGCCACGUGGUUGUAAAACAUCCAGAAUGUGGUUUGGCAUUGUCUUGCUGAAAUAAGCAGGGGUGUUCAUGCAAAACAUGUUGUCUGGAUUGAAGCAUGUUUCUCCAAAACCUGUAUGUACCUUUGAUCAGAAAUGGUGCCUUCAAAGAUGUGUAAGUUACUGAUGUCACUGGCUCAAACACAGCACCACACAAUUACAGAUGCUGGCUUUUGAACUUUGUGUCCAUAACAGUCCAGAUGGUUCUUUUCCUCUUUGCCCAUCCAGAGGAAAUGCCAUCUACGAUUUCCAAAAACAAUUUGAAACGUGGACUCAUCAGACCACAGAACACUUUUCCACUUUUCAUCAGUCCAUCUUAGAUGAGUUUGGGACCAGAGAAGCCGGUGGCAUUACUGAGUGCUGCUGAAAAAUGUUUUUUGUUUUGCAUAGUACAAUUUUAAAUUGCACUGAUGUAGUGCCUAACUGGAUUAACAGACAUUGCCUUUCUGAAGUGUUCCUGAGCUCAUGUGGUACUGCCAAGUCAACUAACGGGAAGAGAACCUGUCCCCCUCAAGACCUGCAGGGGGCAGAGAAACUUCAAUCCCGCAACUCUUCAAACUUCCUGUCAGAGGCCAGGGGCGGCCAUAUUGCUCACAGACAACAUGUGAGCUUGCGUGGAACAAAGAAAGCUGACCAGGAAAAGGAAUGAAUCACUAACAAACAGCUGAAGCAACCAAGAAGCAACUAAAAAACCCAAAGGCACCGUUCAGUUCAGACGCAACUGGUUAUGAACCUAAUCAACUUCUAAUCACCCUCCAACCACCUUAACCAUCAAUAAACUGUGAGAAGAGGAAGAUUUGAGUUGUUCAUGUGUUUGAAGACCAAGGGACUUUUCAAGUUGGGGCAAAGAACUGAGGGAGUUAAAGACAACUUGACAGAUCAGUGUCUCGCCUGUAAUCUCCCAGUGGAUCUACAACUUCCAGACGCGCGGGACACAGCUGGUGAGGCUGGGGGACACCACCACAUCCACAAGCACUUUCAGCACAGGGCGGCAGUCCCAAAUUCCAUCUGGCACGA